AAUAUUGGACAAUGGGCGCAAGCCUGAUCCAGCCAUGCCGCGUGAGUGAAGAAGGCCCUCGGGUUGUAAAGCUCUUUUGUCCGGAAAGAAAAGCUCUCGGUUAAUACCCGGGGGUUCUGACGGUACCGGAAGAAUAAGCACCGGCUAACUUCGUGCCAGCAGCCGCGGUAAUACGAAGGGGGCUAGCGUUGUUCGGAAUUACUGGGCGUAAAGCGCGCGCAGGCGGUUCUCCAAGUCAGUGGUGAAAGCCCGGAGCUCAACUCCGGAAUUGCCAUUGAAACUGUAGAACUUGAGGACGAGAGAGGUGAGUGGAAUUCCCAGUGUAGAGGUGAAAUUCGUAGAUAUUGGGAAGAACACCGGUGGCGAAGGCGGCUCACUGGCUCGUUUCUGACGCUCAGGCGCGACAGCGUGGGGAUCAAAC
This 421-nucleotide ribosomal RNA is filed under the name uncultured bacterium. RNAcentral describes it as "bacterial SSU rRNA". It matches the Rfam family "Bacterial small subunit ribosomal RNA", at positions 360 to 773 of the family's 1533-position model. The record is from RNAcentral.